CUUUCCAAUAUGCCCUUUCAAGGAAAUUCGUAGGAAUAGUAUGAAAAGUUCGAACCUACGCAAUCUCUAUAGUAAAAUAAAAAAAUCCUGGAACAGGCAUGUUGGCCAGGUUGAGCUAUAAACACUUUUAGUUGCGAAAGCUAUAUAUCCCCAUAAUACAUGCAUACAGCGGCUGAAAUAAGUAUUUAACAUGUCACCAUUUUUCUCACUACAUAGAUUUCCUAUUGACAUGAACAUUUCACCAGAUGUCAGGAACAACCCAAGUAACCCAUACAUACAAAGAAAGUAGCACAAAUAAGAUCAGAAAUUAAGUUGUGUGUAAUGGUGUGAAAUGACACAGGAAAAAAGUAUUGAACACACCAACAGUUAUUUAUUUAAUACUUUGUACAAAAGCCUGUGUUUGCAAUGACAGCUUCAAGACACCACCUGUAUGGAGAAACUAGUCGCAUGCAUUGCUCUGGUGUGGUUUUGGCCCAUUCCUACACACAAACAGUCUUCCAAUCUUGAAGAUUCCAUGGGCUUCUUUUAUGGACCUUGAGUUUCAGUUCUUUCCAUAGAUUUUAGAUUGGAUUCAAGUCAGGUGAUUGGCUGGGCCAUUCUAGCAGCUUUAUUUGUUUUCUUUGAAACCAAUUGAGAGUUUACUUGGCAUUAUGUUUUGGAUCAUUAUCAUGCUGAAAUGUCCACCCUCGCUUCUUCGUAGAUGGCAACAGAUUUUUGUCAAGAAUGUCUCAGUACAUUUGCCCAUUCAUCCUUCCUUCAAUGUGAAGUUAACCAGUACCAUUUGCGUAGAAGCAGCCCCACACCAUCAUGUUCCCACCUCCGAACUUCACUGUUGUUAUGAUGUUUUUAGUAGUAAUGGGGCGAACAACACUGGUGCGUCAGCACUGUGCCGAGUGCACAAGAGUGAAAGCCCGUAUUGCUGCGUGUAUCACUUUAAGAAAAAAAUCAUGUGGCCAACACAGGAAGUGUGUGGUUUGAAUGUGCCGCGCCAAAUUGUGUUAAUAAGGAAACAAACUGUGUCGACAUGUUGUGGAUUUGCUGGGUGGAGUUUUGCUGUUGCUGUUGAUUUUGGAUUUUUGCUUGCCCUCACCGUGUUCCACUGACUUCAUGGAUCGUUCCAAGAAGUUUUCCCCAGUCUGGAAUAAUUUUGAUCUUGUGAUCCCAAAUAAGGUGAUGUGUCUGCUCUGCUCCACAGAGCUAUCUUACAUCAAUAAGAGCACUUCAUCAAUGCUGAGGCAUUAUAGAGCUCGGCAUGGCAAUGAAGAAUUGGCAGAUACUCAUGUGAGUACCCCAGUUCCUAACAAGCAAGCAGUGGCUGAGGCUGUGAUCAACAUGAUCAUCAAAGACUGUCAGCCAUUCACCAUUGUUGGAAAAUGAGGGAUUCAAAGUUAUCAACUCGCACUUCAAUUUUUAUGCUCACCACCUUCAUCUGUACCCUGUGAAAGAGUUUUUUUUUUUUUAAGGCAGGGGAACUGGUGGAGAAAUCGCCUUGGAGCAAAGACACUUCAAAAACUUUUAUUCCUCAAUAAAAAUGCAUAAAUAAAUAAAUGUUUAGUCUUUUAUUUCAUAUGAUUGAACACUUAAGUUAACAAAAUUCCAUACGCCUUCAAAAUUUUAACUCUGAAUUUUAUUACAGACAAAUUUGCUUAGCGAUUUGCUUUUACAUAGCAACUCAUUUUAGCAUUUACACAAACAAGGUUUUAAGCAGCCGGAAGUUUGAAUGACUAAUAUAGCAAUAGUCCGGUGCAAUGACCAUGUCAAUAGCACCUUUGGAAAUAUAUUUAGUGAGAAAAAUGGUGACAUGCUAAAUACUUAUAAAGAGCAUAAUUUCAGUUGUAAAAAUGUUUCUCCCCCCCCCAAAUUAUGUCUGUUUUCUAUUAAUUACAGCACAUUACAUUUCCUACAGAACAACAGCUGACAUUUUUGUUUACUCCACCUCUGGUACAUUAUGAUCAUCUAAAUCACUUUGGAAUGGUAUGUUUUUUUUCCCCCCUUUAAACAGCAGGACAAAUGUAAUUUUUCAGACAUUGCCAAUUGGCAAUAUUGCAUAUAGUAUUGUAUAGUAUUUGCUUAUGGUUUGUUGUGACCUAGGGUCAUAAUGGAACCCGCUGCGUGGUAUCUUUUGGAUUUUGAAUGUCUACGACUCUUCUUGGUAGCACAUUUUGCCGUGUGACAACAAGUUCUGUCCAUCCUUUGUCUUUCGCUUAUCCUGCUCUGACUGGGAUGAGAGGUGGGAUACACUCUGAACUGAUCUCUUGUCAAUCACAGACCACAUAUAGACGCACAAGCAUUCACACUCACACCUAUGAGCAAUUUAGAGGCUUCGAUUGAUCUAACGAGUGAUGGGUUCGGCAACACCAAUGCGUCGACGCAUGUGCCGAGCUCAUAUGAUGAAACCCCGUGCCGAUGCGCGUAUAACUUGAAGAAAGUCACGUGACCGAUACAGCCGCUGUAUUGCUCGUACCUGUCACUGUGUGACGCUGUGCCAGACUGUGUUUAUAGGGAAACGCAUCUGUCGAUGGGAUGCGUCUCUGCCAAAUCAGUCAUGGUUCUUUUGAAACACAAUUCUUCCCUUCAAGCCAUUGUGAUACAGAGCCCAAAAGAAAAGUAUAAGUUUUCCGCCGUGUGGGACCAUUUUCAUCUCAUAUCCCCCCAACAAUAUCAGCAAAUAAGGUAUUUGUUUUCAUUUCCUUGCUUCAUCCUGUUCCUCUCAGUUUCUGCUUGAUCCAUCAGAAUUAAAAUCCUUUUCAAAGUAACUAUCAUUUAAGUGAUUCAUUUUAUUUUCUGAAGGUUAAAUGUCGCAGUUGUGCUAAGUACAUAAAAGCGCCUCCUCAAAUAAAGCAAUCGAGGCAUGGAAAAGAAGUCACAAAUACACUUAAAAUAGAAACAGGUGUGCAGACAUUUUCCAACUUUCUUCGUGGUCACUUUAAUAAUAAAUAUAUAUUUUAGGCUAUUUCAUUUUUUUAACGUCAAUUUUCCAUGAAGCAUGCAUUGGACCGGGUAGUGCUGAAUUGCAUUAUGAGCCAUUAUGUUUUGAAAGGUGUGUGUAGAAAAUGUUUGGAUAUAGUUGAUAAAUGUAAUCACUUAAAUAUUUAAUGUAAAUAUUUUUUUGAACCUCUUUUGGCGGUAAACACUUUUUAAGUACACAAGCCCCAUCAGGGCCUUGUGUGAGAGAGUUCUCCAAAGCUGGAGAGAAGGAAAAAAGGAAACGCCUGAAUGCCAAACACUGGAAAAAGUUUUUCUUUUUUUAAAUAAACAUAUGAAAAACAAUUUUAAAACUUUCUGCCUCAACCAAAACUAUAUCAACAUCAUCACACUCAGAAUUACAACACUUUCACUAUGAUUUUCACAUUAUUGACUGACUAUUUUAAAGACACUAAAGAUAUUUUAAAUUUAGGAUUAAGACAAUAUAACAUACAAUAACCUCGAGAUAUUGUAUAGGUUGCCUGCAAAAUAAUAUUUAAGAUCCAACAGGUGUCUGUAUUGAGCAACACAGGGCCACAGUACCCACACAGGAUCAAUACAGUUUACCAAUGUGUUGCAAUGCUUCACGAGGCCUCAUCUACCCAUAACACACACAGUGUUGAUCAUUUGUGCAACAUGUGUAUUUGUCCUAUC
Molecule: long non-coding RNA, 3618 nt
Organism: Phyllopteryx taeniolatus (common seadragon)
Lineage: Eukaryota; Metazoa; Chordata; Actinopteri; Syngnathiformes; Syngnathidae
Exons: 3
Source: RefSeq, a predicted model, not a curated record